This 82-nucleotide transfer RNA is filed under the name Ezakiella coagulans. Its description in RNAcentral is "Bacteroides coagulans tRNA". It matches the Rfam family "tRNA". From Rfam's summary of the family: Transfer RNA (tRNA) molecules are approximately 80 nucleotides in length. Their secondary structure includes four short double-helical elements and three loops (D, anti-codon, and T loops). Lineage: Bacteria; Bacillati; Bacillota; Tissierellia. The record is from Rfam by way of RNAcentral.
GCGGGAAUGGCGAAAUUGGCAGACGCGCUGGAUUUAGGUUCCAGUGCCGCGAGGCGUGGGGGUUCAAGUCCUCUUUCCCGCA